Molecule: transfer RNA, 65 nt
Filed under: Homidia koreana
Lineage: Eukaryota; Metazoa; Arthropoda; Collembola; Entomobryomorpha; Entomobryidae
Description: tRNA-Pro
Source: RNAcentral
CAGAAUAUAGUUUAAAAAAAAUUUUAACUUUGGAAGUUAUAGAUAGUUGAAAAAAUUUUUUCUGA